GACGAACGCUGGCGGCGUGCCUAAUGCAUGCAAGUAGAACGCUGAAGGAGGAGCUUGCUCUUCUGGAUGAGUUGCGAACGGGUGAGUAACGCGUAGGUAACCUGCCUGGUAGCGGGGGAUAACUAUUGGAAACGAUAGCUAAUACCGCAUAACAGUAGAUGUUGCAUGACAUUUGCUUAAAAGGUGCAAUUGCACCACUACCAGAUGGACCUGCGUUGUAUUAGCUAGUUGGUGGGGUAACGGCUCACCAAGGCGACGAUACAUAGCCGACCUGAGAGGGUGAUCGGCCAAACUGGGACUGAGAAACGGCCCAGACCCCUACGGGAGGCAGCAGUAGGGAAUCUUCGGCAAUGGACGGAAGUCUGACCGAGCAACGCCGCGUGAGUGAAGAAGGGUGUCGGAUCGUAAAGCUCUGUUGUAAGGGAAGAACGAGUGUGAGAGUGGAAAGUUCACACUGUGACGGUAUCUUACCAGAAAGGGACGGCUAACUACGUG
Molecule: ribosomal RNA, 495 nt
Filed under: uncultured bacterium
Lineage: Bacteria
Description: partial 16S ribosomal RNA
Rfam family: Bacterial small subunit ribosomal RNA
Source: RNAcentral